CGGGGUGUAGCGCAGCUUGGUAGCGCACCUGCUUUGGGAGCAGGGGGCCGCAGGUUCAAAUCCUGUCACCCCGACCG
RNAcentral lists this transfer RNA (77 nucleotides) under Blastococcus sp. TBT05-19. RNAcentral describes it as "tRNA-Pro". It matches the Rfam family "tRNA". Rfam says of the family: Transfer RNA (tRNA) molecules are approximately 80 nucleotides in length. Their secondary structure includes four short double-helical elements and three loops (D, anti-codon, and T loops). Lineage: Bacteria; Bacillati; Actinomycetota; Actinomycetes; Geodermatophilales; Geodermatophilaceae. The record is from RNAcentral.